RNAcentral lists this transfer RNA (24 nucleotides) under Gehyra montium. RNAcentral describes it as "partial tRNA-Ala". The record is from RNAcentral. Lineage: Eukaryota; Metazoa; Chordata; Lepidosauria; Squamata; Gekkonidae.
GUGUAUGAGAGUUUUACAGGCCUU